This 74-nucleotide transfer RNA is filed under the name Plantibacter flavus. Its description in RNAcentral is "tRNA-Thr". Lineage: Bacteria; Bacillati; Actinomycetota; Actinomycetes; Micrococcales; Microbacteriaceae. The record is from RNAcentral.
GCGGACGUCCAUGGAUCCCGUCGACCUCACUCGUAAUGAGAAGGUCAAGGGUUCGAUUCCCUUGGGCGGCUCCA